This 44125-nucleotide long non-coding RNA is filed under the name Malus domestica (apple). Its description in RNAcentral is "long non-coding RNA (MDOM_LNC010775)". The stretch from base 6362 to 6433 matches the Rfam family "tRNA". The record is from RNAcentral. Lineage: Eukaryota; Viridiplantae; Streptophyta; Magnoliopsida; Rosales; Rosaceae.
UAGGUGGUGGUGACGCUUUGGUCGGAGAUUGCUUGGUUGCUAGUGUGUAUAAAGACGGCGAUGGAGAGGGAAGAGAGAAGGCCGAUGUUGUGGUGUUGAAAAGGCUUUUCCUGAAUAAGGGAGAGAGGAAGAAGAGACUAGUGGGGCCCAAACCCCAAUAUGUUUUAUUUUUUAAUUCUUAAACGGCGUGUUCUGUGAAAAAUGUUUACAGGUGUCAAGUCAUUAUGGGUGGAACUCUAGGUUAGCUAAUGAGCCUGGACCGUGGAAAAAUUUCUCCAACAUCAUAGUUUGGAACAUCAAUAAUAUUGCUUUGUUUAGGAAAUCCAUUAUUCUUCUGCAAAUUUAAUUAAAUUUUAAGAGAUAAUUGCAGCAGUGGUCUAUAUAUUUUAGUCUAAUUGGAGUUUGUAUCUCUAAAAUAAAAUUAAGUGAAUAUUGGUCAUGAACUUAUUACAAUGUGUAGUAGUAGUUCUUAGGUUACUCUUUUAGAAUUUUCAUCCAUGUUUUACCUUUUAAACUCUUAUUUAGGAUGAAUGUAUAAUUAUGCUACUCUAAUGAACUAUAACUCUUUUAGAAUUUUCAUCCAUUGUUUUGCCUUUUAAACUUUUAUUUUGGAAUCUUGGAUGAAAUUUAUUAAUAAUAUUUUCAUUUUAUGAAUCCUAGUACUUUUAUAAAUUGGUAUUUAAAAACUCUUUUCUUUUAUCGUAUUAAUUUUGACUGAGUUUAUUAUUUGUUUUUAAUUAAAAUUAGUUUUUAAUAUUACUCAAUUUCCAAAUCAUAUUUCUAAAUUUUUAGUUUUAAGUAGUUAAUUAGGAAUUGUUUUUACAUAUAUUAUUUAAAUAGUCCUUGUGGAGAACGAUUUUGCAUGAGCAUCUAUACUAUAACAUCCGUGUACUCUUGCAAAUAUUUGUGUGAUUUUAACCUUCUUUUCGUAGGUACUAAAAAUCCUAUCAUCAAUCUUUGUAGAAGUUCGAUUGAGCAAUGUCUUGUUUACGGUGUUUACUUAAAACUUUUCAAAUCCACGACACGCACAAAAGUUUCUCUUUUUGCAUUCAACUCAACGUCAUAGUUUGGAACGUCAAUAAUAUUGUUUUGUUUAGGAAAUCCAUUAUUCUUCUGCAAAUUUAAUAUAAUUUUAAGAGAUAAUUGGAGCAAUGGUCUAUAUAUUUUAGUCUAAUUGGAGUUUGUAUCCCUAAACUAAAAUUCCGUGAAUAUUGGUUCAUAAACUUAUUACAAUGUGUAGUAGUGGUUCUUAGGUUACUCUUUAAGAAUUUUCAUCCAUGUUUUACCUUUUAAACUCUUAUUUAGGAUGAAUUUAUAAUUAUGCUACUCAAAUGAACUAUAACUCUUUUAGAAUUUUCAUGAAUUGUUUUGCCUUUUAAACUUUUUUAUUUUGGAAUCUUGGAUGAAAUUUAUAAUAGUAUUUUCAUUUUGUGAAUCCUAGAAAGCCACAUGAGCACCUGUCUCAUAUCGCAUUUUCUAACAAGAAGAUUUGAAUUUUUAGUUUAAUGAUCAAAGCUUCAAUUGCCAAAAUUCAAGAACCAAAUGCUCUAAUUCUUUUUAAUUCUAAAUGAUGAGCAAUUAAUUCUUUUUAAUUCUAAAAUUGAUGAGCAAUUAGUAUAUAUUGACAUGAAUUUUCAUUUGAACGAUGCCGUAUAAAUGGUGAUCUAAUUGGAGAAUCAUGCUAGUUGUAGAUGCUUUUGAGGAAACGAAUAUCCGACAUCAACUGCAUGCCAAGUGUGUCCUUAUCAUUUACUUGCAAUCCUUUAAUUUGCAAGAAGCUUCUCAACGAGGAGAAAAGGACCACCACCACAUCUCCAAUCCUUUGCUUAUGAGGUGAGAGUUAUGAGCCACCACGCAAUUAAAAUACCAUCUUUGUUCUUUAUUUUUUACGAGAAGCGAUAGUGAUUUUUCAUUGAGAAGUGAUACGAUUAAAAAGAUGUAAUUGUUUAAAAUUAGGUUGCUGCCUGCUUCAUCGAAAAGCAAAUUCUUGUUUAAAUUAAACAGUCAAAUUUGAAUGAUGCUGGAGGACUAAUAUUCGUCAACAGCUGAGGCAAGUGUGCUAUUAUCAUUACUUUGAGUCCUAUAAUUUACAAGAAGCUUUCUCAAGGAGAAAUGAAGGAUUGCACCACCACAUCUCAAACCUUACUAAUCAACUCCACACAUUAUUUGUGCGGUGGAAUCAUAAGAAGUUUUCAAUUUGAUCACCAUUAAUAAGAAGAUAAUGAUGCUCUCUUGUUAAUGAGGUGUUUCCAAGCUGCCAAUACCUCGGGUUUUUAAUUACUUGAGCUAAAGUUAAUUGAACUUUCGCAUUUAAAUACACCAUUUAAAUUAAUAGCUUUUUAUUUCUAUAGAAAUACAAAUUAAAUCUUAAUAAUAUAACAUGUUUGAGUGCAUGAAGAUUAAAAUGAUAAAAGAAACCUCAAGGGGUUGGUCUAAUGGAACGCAAGCAAGGGUUUGGAACCCCCAACCCAAAUCCAAACUCCCACGAGAUGCAUUCCUUAGGUCACAAACUCUACGUCAAUGUACUGUUUGCCUUCAGGGUCACAAGUACGCUACCAUUUCAUGUGGUACUGAGACUGUAUAAGAAAUAAAAUUAGUCUAUCAUCAAUGUGUGGUGAGAUACAUUCUAUAUAUGUAUUAAAAAAAAUAAAAAGGACAUCAUGAGAUUAAUAUUUGAGUUGUUUAUAUUGGGGAGGGUGACAUUUUAAGUCCAAAAGAACAUUAUUUGUGACAAAUUCAUUCACAACAAGGAGGUUGAGGAGUUGAUAACCCCACGCUACCCUAUGCCUACCACAACAUCUCUCCUCAGCUGCUCACCACCACAAGAACCACCUACUUGUUCCCAACCACUCCUCCAAACUUGACAAAUAUACAUAUAUUGCCUCCAGUUAGCCCCUUAUACCGUUUCUCAUUAGCACCCUCCAAUGGCUAUCUUAACCCAAACCAAGUUCUUCCCAAGUUCCAUAAACCAACUCCACACAUCCCACUCUCUAAUCCGCCGCACUAGAGUGCAUUGCUCCGCCGCCACCACCAAGGCAAACCCCGCCGCUGAAAAGCUAGUCCUCAAACCACCACUGCAACUGCUAGAGCCCUCACACUCGCCCUCACCCGCCCUACUCACAGACACCACCAUCCGUCCUCCUCAACCCAAUGACCCAAGUUUGCUAUCGACAUGGUCUCACCGUGCAUGGGUGGCUAGUGGGUGCACAACAGUCCUAGUUUCUCUAGCCAAGUCCGUAACUUGUGCAGCUGAUUCACACAUAUGGCUCGAGCCCAUUUUGGCAGGCUUGGUUGGGUAUGUGCUGGCAGACCUCGGAUCCGGAGUGUACCAUUGGGGCAUUGACAAUUAUGGUGGGGCCUCGACUCCAAUUUUUGGUCCCCAGAUCGAAGCGUUCCAAGGCCAUCACAAGUGGCCUUGGACGAUCACUAGGCGCCAAUUUUCCAACAACUUACAUGCCCUAGCUCGUGUGGUGACUUUCUUUGUGCUUCCUAUAGACCUUGUGUGUGAUGAUCCAGUAGUUAAUGGAUUUGUUGCAGUGUGCUCUGGCUCCAUUAUGUUUAGCCAACAGUUUCAUGCUUGGGCACACGGCACCAAGAGCCGCCUGCCGCCAGUUGUGGUGGCCUUGCAAGAUUUAGGCGUCUUGGUUUCGCGGCCGCAACACGCGGCACACCACCGGCAGCCUUACAACAACAAUUACUGCAUUGUGAGUGGGGUUUGGAAUGAGCUUUUGGACCAGCAGAAGGUUUUCGAGGCAUUGGAGAUGGUCUUAUUUUUUAAGUUAGGGUUAAGACCCAGGUCUUGGAGUGAACCUAGCUCUGAAUGGAUUGAAGAAACUGAGACUGCUUCACAACUUCAAGGCCAAUGAACCUUUCCUUUACAUUCUUUUGGGGAUUUUAAUUAAAUGGGUGAUUUCCGCACUCACAUUUUUACGUCCAACUCGCCUCUGUUUUCUCUAGCCAUUGCAUUGAAUAAAUCAAGGAAGAAACAACGGACAGAACUAAACAAAGGUGUGUUGGAGGUGAAUAGGGAAGUGCGGAAAUCCUUCCCUUAAUCGAUUACCCACCAUUCAUCGGUUCGCAGUAUUAUUUACUCACUGCAGUAUUUCUUUCAAAAGAUUACGUGAUGUCUGUGUAUAUGAUCACCAGCUAUUGUAUCGGCUUCAUCUAGUUCAAUAGUCAUGUACCAAGAAAACACUUUCAAACGCAAACGUCUUCUUUAUACGAUGAAAUACAUUGUCCAGCAGCACUGUUGAAACAACUAGUUUACAAACGGAAAAAUAAAGAAAUAAGCAAUCUUUGGGUAUGCACAUUUAACCCUUCGAACUUCCGUAACCGUCGGCUCCUACUGGAGUGGAGAUGGAGGAUACACAGGGAAACCAGUAUCGGCGGACACCAUCUUUGUGACCAUCAUCAAUCAUUGCAAGACCCUCCUGAGAAAAUCAAUGGUUUUAUUAAGCCAAGGGAAUCCUACCAUACAUUUAAAAUAGACUAAGGGGAAAGAGAGGAUCCUAAAUGAGUCGAUUAGUAAAUGUCAUCAACUUACAUCUAAUAAAGUGUCAAAGGCAUCGAUUGCACGGCCAGUGGUCCAAGAUAGCCGUCUCUCCACCUCAACAACAGUCACAAAGCCUUUAGCCUAAGAGAACAGAAGCAGAACAUAACCGCAAAUAUCAAUCUAGACGAUAAAAAGAAAAUUAAGAUUAUUGAAACUGUUAUUCCAGGUGUAGUUCGGAGGACGAUAAAACAAAAAUUGGAACCUGGGCUAGCUCUAGAAUUUCAUUAUGAUCUUUGUUCAACUCAGUUGGAACGGAACGAACGAGCUUUCUCUUUCCAAUAGAAAUGACCUCAUAACCAUUACCCAAUACCUGGAAUCAAGUAACAGAUGUGAGUGCAAUGCAAUGCAUCACUAAGCUAUAAUCAUGCUAGUAAGGUGCUGCCUACUGCAGGGAUAUGAUACGAUGAACUGCUUAAGAGAAAGUACAUGAAGUUCUUAAGAGUUGAUAGCGUGAUAACAGAUCAUGAAAUACAGAGUUUGAAUAUCUCAAGGUCAAAAAUACUAUUUCCUAUUAGAAAGAAGGAAUUGUAAACUUUGACAUGUACUGAAUGAAUUGUGAUACAGAGGAAAGGGUAUCACAUAGCUAUCAGUAACGUACUGCUAAAUGUACCUAAUCUCACAACAAACCAAUUCUGACUAAACAACACCACCGAUUACUUACAGCUGCAGUAACAAACUUAAAGCUAACUCUUCCUUAAAAUGAGAUUAUACUCGAACAAUUGCUACUGUGAACAACCCUGGCAACAAAACUUAAUCCCCUACGUUAUGCAAGGACAAGCUAAGCCACAUUACCUUGAGCUUGCUUAUAGCACGGAGGCAAUCAUCCUCGGAAACAGCUUCGCGAUCACUCUUCCGCCUCUGACGAAGCAGACCGCAAAGUUCUUGCAGGUUGAUCAAACCACCAUUGUGGGGUCUUGUUGCCAAGCAAAUGUCAACAAUUUGCACCCCUGUCUAACCAAAUCCGCUCCCGUUUAGAACACACAUAUAUAUCCGAAACAACCAUAACAAUUCACACCCAAUCAAAGAUAUACAAAGAGAUUAAGAAGAUGGGUACCAACCAAGUUCAUAGUAGAAAUCACCAAUCCCCAAAAGCUCGGCCCAGAAACCCUUAUUGGAUGCCAAUGGAUCUACUCCUACCUUGGUGCACAUGUUAUGAAAUUGUGAUCUGAAAGCUGGGUUCUUUCGAAUGUCAUUCUGCACCAUCCAUAUCAAACAGUCAAUAUAAAUUAUUUAUCAUGAAGCGAUAUUACUACUCUAAGCUACACUAAGGAGAGGGGAGAGGGUUUGAACCCGAGACGCAAUGGAUCAAAAAAUAGGCCUAUCUGCCAGGGCAAUCCAGCACUUGCCAAACAGCCAAUGUAAAUCGAAUACAACAUAAAAAUUUUGACAUAAUUUGGUAAUGAAAGUGAUUGAUUGAGGAGAAAAAUGGGACCUUGUGCUUUCGAGCGAAAUCUUCCAAUUGGGUUCGGAAAGUGGUGAGCUGCUCCUUCAUGAGAUCGGUUCUGAUCUUGGCAACAUUCUCGCCCAGCUGACGAUAUUGGUCCUGCAAGAAAAGCAAGGAUUGGAUAAUUGAACUCGGUAACAAGUGGCGGCAAUCAAAGGCGAAGAAGAAGAAAAAUCACAAACCCUAGCGGCGGCGGCGGUCUGCAAGCCGCCGAUUCCAGGUCUCCUCCUCAUGGUUCUUCUUCUUCCGCGACCCGCUUCGGUGGAGUUGAGAAGAGGAAAGUAGUACGGAAAGCCAACUGUAGACUAAUAACUUAGUAAAAUUAAAUUUGUUUAAAUAUAUGUUUGGGAGUAAAAUUCUCACUGAUCAGAGUGGCGCAGCGGAAGCGUGGUGGGCCCAUAACCCACAGGUCCCAGGAUCGAAACCUGGCUCUGAUAUAUUCCAUUCUAUUUUUUAUGAUUUUUUUCCAUCGAUUGAGCAUAAUUAACGGGAGGUGCCCUCCCAUUUCCAUACUCUUCCCAUCCCCUCAUGUUUUGUGUAGUCAUGGUUAAACCACGUCAACAUUUUAUAUUUCUAUUAUUUUUUGUUUUAUUAUUUUUAUAAAAAAAUCAAUAUAAAAUGUUAACAUGACUUAACCGUGACCACACAAACAGGAAAUAAUGUGAAGAGUAUGGAAAUUGGAGGGCAAACAAUCCACCUUCUAAUUAAUGGGCUAUUGCGGAUUUGCAGAAACUCUAAAAUCUAGAGAGUAAGAAAGAAGUUGUUAAGAGCCUUUUAUAUGACAGUUUAGAAAUGGUUUGGCCUUUAUUUAAAAAAAACUAACAAUUUCAACUUAAGUUACAAAUGUCGAUACACUUGAAGAAAGGAAAGUGAUUUACACAAAUUUUUUACCCGACACGUACACUCUAGUACAUGAAAUGAGAGUUAAAAAGCCAUAGAUAAACAGUUUAAAGAGUAAAUAGGUGUACAAAAAUUAGUUCGCAAACUAAAUCAUCUGUAUGAGUAAAAUUAUGUAUUAUUCUUAUUGUGAAAUAUAGUGUGAAUGCCACAUAUGAAUGCGUGAAGCAAACUAACAUAUGAAUGCGUAAAGAAGCAAACCAACAUGUCAUAGUAGACUUUGGUGACACCAAUUAAAAGCGUAAGUCCAUGAAAACGGGGAAUUCAAUCCACGACUGAAAACUAAAUAAAUUUCAGCACUGCAUGUUGUAAAUAUACAUUUGAAGGCACAUUGCUAUAAGCUUACUUCUUGCUUGAUCCUCGGUAAGAAAUUGCAUUCGGUUGGUCAAGUAUGACGAGACUCUAUAUAAGAAUCAUGAAAUAGUACUCACAUCCAUCCUUUCUAAAAUCUUUAGCUUCCUCGAUCUGAGGGUCGACCAGUAUUACCCGGCCGUCGACCAUCUUGAGCACUAGUUCACCACACUUUCUAGAAAUAAAUGGCUUCUGUAUCAUGUUCUGCAGGCAAACAGUGAACGAUUUUGUCCACGAUUCCACCACGCCAUGCUCUGUCAUCACCCACAUGUGAUAAUCAUAUCCAUUUUGCCUUACAGAUUCGACUACAAAGAACGCAAGGUUCUCCCCAUAGCUCAAGAAAUGGUAGAGAACUUCUUUUGUCAAACAAACUUGGGGAAUCAUUAUUGUGGAGCCAAAAAUAAUCAAGAGGUGACACGUGAAUUUUGGGCAAAAAUGACAAAAUUACUUUUGAGGAGCACCAAAAUUCCUACGCGCGAGCAGUGGACAAACAUCAUACAAUCAAGUCAAAAGUGCCCAAAUAGGUAUUUAUUUUUAAACCUAUUUCAUCCAUCCUCAUCAAAUCCUCUCCACAAGGUAACCCCCAAAACAUUUCUUUUAAAUUAUGUUAAUAGGCUAAUUAAUGAAUUUAUUACCUAAUUAAUCUAUUAAUGGUCAAUUAAACCACCAAUUACACCCCAAAAAUACACAAAAGGUCGGUCACCUUCUCUCCCAAAGGGACCAGCCAUGCACUAUAUAUUCAACCUCAUUUUCUCUAAAACCCUAGGUCUUGACUCUUGCUAAACACUCAAAAAUUCCCCAAACACUUUUAUCUCAAAAUUCUAACUUUAGCAUCGGAGGUUCUUCGGCCAAAAUCCCCCAUUCAUCUUGGGCUCGUGAGACUCUUGGCCUUGACCAAAGGUGUUAUUUGUUUUGUAGGUGCAAUUUUGUCCCAGAUCAAGGAGGAAGAAAUUUGCAUCCACAAAUUGGUGCUUUCAUUGAGAGUUGAGUCCCACAUUUGUAGAAGACUUUCGCAUCCAAGGUUUUUCUAUUUUCUUGUCUAUUUGUAGAUUUUUCGUACGUUUUUAUUAUUAGAAUUUUUUAUUUGCAAAAAUUCUUGGAUAAAAGGUAAAAGAGAAGUACAAUGGCUAGAAAUUUAGAAGAUUAAACAAGUGAAAAUUCCAAUAUUCAAGAGAUGGGACCGUGGCGAUCCAUGAGGCUAAAUGUGACAAUAAGCGGAGUGGCACCACCACUACAAAGCUCCACCAUGGCAACCACCGCGGUGGCCACCACGGCAACCACCCGCGGCGAGGUCCAUGGCACCAUUACCACGGCCCAAGUCGUGCCAUCAAAACUUGCACGGGCCCAAGCCCAAGCCGUGCCAUCCAAGUUCCACGGCACCAAAGCCACAGCCCAAGCCAUGUCACUCUAAGCCCACCGCGAACCCAACGCGUUGUCAAGCCGAGCCCUAGCCUUGCACCCACGUGCGUCACACACUGAGCAGCCCACUCCCGCGGCCCAGCCUGCUCCAGUGGCCCAAUCUGCUCUCGUGGCCUUCCAAGUAGCUCGAAUUGAUCCAAGAUUAGUUCAACCGUCCCGGUUCUAAAUUUCUGGACCAACGAUCGAACUGGGAGCAUUUUCACCAUUUUUCUACAGAUUUGACAUUUCCUAACUUAAAUUUUGCGCCUGGAGUCUACCACACUUCCAUUACUCAAAGGGACACAUUUCUUCCAAGCUAUUCCAACCCAAAUGGAGAACAACACUUGUCUCGACAAGUCAUAGAGUUGACGAGCGCCCUCGCACAGCAGAUGACCUUGGUGAACCAGCUCUUGCAGCGCACCGAGGUGCAAUAUGCCCCAGACGAGGUGUCCCGAAGUAGGAUAAAGGCAGACAAAGAAACUUUCUAACAGCGUCCCGAUAAACAGCCAUUCGACCAGCCACGAACAGAGCGUUUGGGCAGUGUACACUCUCGAUUAAGCCCCCGAGAUAACAUAUACUCUCAUCUUAACGCGCGGAGGAACGUGCACUCUCGACUAAGCCCAUAGACGAGCAUACAUUUACAGUUGGGGUCACACUCCGAUAGUCAACAUGAGCAACCUUCCAGGUGAAGUGUUCAUUCGUGGCUAAGCCCGCAAGGAGCAUAUUUCACCUCACAUCGGAGUAGGCAGCACGACGGACGGAGAGAAAUAGUCACUCAAUCCGGCUCAAGUUCAAUCGACAGUUUGCGAAGAACUUGCUCGCUUGCUAGGAACACAUCACACUCAUCGCAUCCGCGGCAUAGACGAGCCAAACACAUGGAAGAGCAACCUAAACCAGCAAGUCGAGGCUGGGGGGCAAUCGAGAGCUUCGCUACCCCAACAAAGACAAAUUUAGGAAGAAGUAGAGAGAUUCUUGACCAAGCGAUUGCGUAAUUUCCAACACAACAAAGUCACCAACGAGGCACUACGAUGGAACAUGACCAACAUAAGCAGGCCACCCUUAACAGAUGAGAUCGAGCAGGCAGAGCCUUCACACGAAUUCAACAUGCCAUAUUUCACAUUUUUCAAAGGGGAUGAAGACUAGGAGAGACACUUAAAGCAUUACCGAAGCAUAAUGAUCUUUUAUCGAAACAACGACGAUCUCAUGUGUAAGAUAUUCACCACCAUUCUACAAGGUAAGGCACAAGAUUGGUUCUACACCCUGCCGCUAUAAUCUAUCUAAAGUUUUGACAAACUUUCUUUGGUUUUCACCAAAGAAUAUUCAUCCUAUCGCUCAAUAAAAAAGAAGUUCGACCAUUUGUUCAACGUCAAGAAGAACUCAAAAGAGUCACUUUGUGACUAUGUGAAGAGGUUCAAAGCAGAGAAGGCAAGUAUAGUCAAAUGCAACGACUCGAUAGCUAGAGCAGCCUUUCAAAAAGGACUUCUAGCAGACCACCUGCUAUUCAGAAAAUUGAUCAUGAAAAAAGAUCUAACUCUAGCAGACUCUUUCGCUCUAGCAGAGCAGCAUGCACUUUGAGAUGAGGCUCGCCGAUGCACAUUCAAGGACUUGAAGAAGUGCCUGACAUCACAUCCCUACUAUCCAAACCAGAAGCAACGGAUGACUUAUUCGCAUGUUUGACAAUAUCUAAAGCAGUAAUAAGCUCUACCAUCAUACGAGAAGAGCUGGGAGCCCGACUACCUGUAUUCCACAGUUCAAAAGCUCUCAUCAAUGUUAUCAGAAAUUUAAAAGCUAACUUUGGGGAUAGUUGUUACAACCCGGAAGCUCAAGUUUACCUUUAAACACAGGCAGUCAUCCUCAUGAUGUACUAUUCUGCCCAAUCCAGACCCGCGACGAUAAAGGCGUAGACCCUGGUGGAUGCAAAGUUUUCUAACGAAUGUAAUAACUCAGCCCAAAAGACACGCCAAAGGCAGACGAACAUUGGUAAGACACACUUAGAAGCAAGUUUUGUCCUCGUCGCCCCAAAAGAUUCUACAUAGGAGCAACAUGUACCGGUAAUUGAGCACCACCUCAUGUUGCGUGUCACACGACCCUAGCUGACCCUUGCUCUAUAAUUUAGUUCUAAAGUGGUCAAAUACUAGCAGUUGAGCAUCUCUUGCUAUGUGUAACAUGGCCCCAGCUCCACGACUCCCUACCACACAUUCACUACGUAACAAAGCGGCCCAACGACGCCUCAGAGGUAGCCGACCAUGCCUUAGCCGCGCCUGCUCCACCCGAUGGAGACUUUUGGCAUUUGCAUGUCGACGAUGCAUCCAACUACAAAGGUUCGAAAGCAAGUGUAGUCCUUGUCACCCCAAACGAUUUGAUACCUGAACAGGCAAUCACUCUAGGCUUCAAAGCAUGUAACAACGAAGCAGAGUACGAGACCCUACUAGCAGGCCUCCGAGUGGCAAAAGACUUGACGGUGAAAAAGCACACAAUUCAUUCUGAUUCCUAGCUAAUCACUAGCCAGCCUAAGCUCCGCCCUCAACCACCAACUUAAACGCUCUAUUCCGGUGGAGUAUCUAGACGAGCCAAGCAUAGAGGCGAAACCAACAGUAGAAGUGUCAUAGGUUAGUACAACUCCAAACUGGCAAGAUUUCAUUGUAGACUACCUGGUCAAUGACACAUUCCCCACGGAAAGAUUGGAGUCUAGGAAGCUCCAAAUCAAGGCAGCACGCUACUACAUAUGGAACGGUAUUCUCAUCCGAAGAUCCUACACUGGACCACAUCUCCGCUGCCUAACGGCUCCUGAUGACUUGAAGGUUCUAAACUCAAUCCAUAAAGGCAUUUGAGGAAAUCACUCCGGAGGUCGAUCCUUAGCACAGAAGGCUUUUAACGCAGGCUAUUAUUGGCCUACCAUGCACCGAGAUGCUAAUGAGUUAGUACAAAAGUACAUUAAUUACCCACGCUACAAGCCAGUACCAACACUGCCUACCAACGAGCUAUACCUGCAGACGAAUCCUUGGCCGCUCAUGCAGUGGGCAUUCGACCUGGUAGGACCUAUGCUGCCUGCUACUAGGGGUAGAGGCAUGAUGAUUGUGGCAAUCGACUACUUCACCAAAUGGGUAGAAGCAGAGCCCAAGACGACCACGACUCAGAUGGACAUAGAACACUUCAUAUGGAGGAACAUCAUUCGCCUAUUUGGCAUCCCUCAGUCUAUCACCGACAAUGGCCAACAAUUCGUGGGUAAAGAUGUGGCGAAGUUCUUCCAAAAGUAUGGCAUCAAACAGUACAUGUCCACACCGAGAUAUCCUCAAGGCAAUAUGCGAGGCGAAGUAUCCAACAAGAUGAUCUUUGACUGCCUCAAGAAAUCCCUCACUAAUAAAAAAGGAAAAUGGCCAGACGAACUCCUCAGAUGUCUAUGGGCAUAUUGCACCACCAAAAGACGAGCAACCAGUGAGACUCGUUUCUCUUUGGCAUUUGGCUUAUAAGCAAUCAUUAAUCCCAAUGUCAUCAAGCUAAGUAUCAUCGUUCUACUACCAAGCAUUGAUCAGAACAGUAAGGAGAUGGCCACAAGUUUAGAUCUAGUAGAGGAGAAGUGUGAGUAGAUUAUUACCCGCAUCGCAGCCUACAAGCAGCAGUUCCUUUCCAGUUACAACAAAAGGGCCAAGAUCUAGCAAUUUUAGCCCGAAAAUUUAGUCCUAAGAAAAGCCUUCAUCACUGCCUGCAGAGAAGGCUCCAAAAAGAUGGAUCUCAUCUGGGAAGGUCCGUACAAGAUCAGUAGAGUAGGCGGCAAAAGUAAUUACACCCUCGCCAUCAUGAAACGAUAAAAAGAUUGAAAAUCAGUGGAGCUCCUACAAUCUGAGGAAGUACCAUGUGUGACCUCCCACUACAUCAAAGCCUCAAGACUCAAGCAGCUCGAUGGGCAUCACCUUACAAGCCGAUGACUAUCUAGUUGUUAUGCAGUUCCUACCUUACAGCUAAUUUCUAGUUUGUUUCACUUGUUUUUCAAUGAGGAAUUCAGAAGUAAUCACAACUUAGCUCGGCUGCAUGCUUACAACAAUUGAUCACUCAUGCACUUCAAAAGAAUACCGCACCCUUUUUAGGGACUUAUUGCAAGAAUUGCGCCCCCUGAUGGACCAACCAUGCUCUCUAGUACGAGAUGGUAAACUAAUUGCUCCCCAGUGCGAGAGGGUAAACCAAUUCCCCGACACCCAUAUGGGUCAGCUCUCUAAGAUGGGAAGAUAAACUUUACACUCCGAAUAUCUAGACGUGGAUGAGCCUAGCUGCCAUAGUAUAAGUAGAUGCACGAUGGCUUGCGCCGGGAUUCCUAGAAGUAGCUACAAUAGUUUUUUUAAAGGCUUAGCUAACUAAAGGAUUUUUGGGUCUCUUGGCCUAAUCCGCGGGGAAUCGGGCGCUAAAGAUGAAUGGGGCACAUUACGCAGUACGCCCUACAGACGGCUGCCCUGGAACCCUAAAGUUGCUAUCGAGUACACUAAGGUAGCUUAAGGUUUCCAGAAGAUUGCCUACGGCUGUUCGAGCAGUAAAACCACGCUAGACUUAUACAACCGCACAUUCUUGUGAAAGGUUAAAUAAGCUAGUGUGCAUAUACGAAGCUUUAUCCACUGCCAACAUGCUAUGUAUUCGAUAAGCUUCACCUCUGCCAAGCGCGGAACAACCUACACCAAGUCAUAAAGUGUUGUGAUACUUGUUACACAAUAUAUGUAAUUGGAGAAAAGCCAAAGUUAACAGCUUAGUGGUUACGCGAACUUGUCUGCUUCUAUAAGUAAGGCAUCUGGUUGCCAACCCUAUGGCUAACAACUUUACAAAGUUCUACACCAACACCUACGACUAUAUAGGCUACGCAGGCUUGUCUGCUUAUAGAAAAGUAGCACACCUGCCAUUGGUCUAUAAAGUCUAAAGGUUAAGGCAUGAACAAAAGAAGUGAAGAUGAAGAAAAGUGAAGGAAGCAUGUUUAUAAAUAACGAGCAAGCCAAAUGAGUUCAAGAAAAACAAGAGCUACAAGGAAAAACAAAGAAAAUCCGAAAGGCUACCUAGAAGACUACACUUCAGCAGCCAUGACGUUCUUAGCAGCGGCAUUAUCCAGCGCUUCAUCCCCGGCUGCCCUAGCCUGGGCACCAACUUCUUCAACUACUUCACUAAUGGAAGCCUCAAAAGUAAAAGCAAGCAAGUCUCCAGAGAAAUAGAGAAGGUCUCGAAACCUCGAGCCCAUCCUUUUCACCCUUCAGCUGCUCAUUCUCCUCGAGCAGACCAACAUGGACACGUUACAGCUCAUCCGCGUCUUCUUCAGACUUUCGUUAAUCUUUAGUACACUUUGAAGUUCCAACACUUGGGGUUCAAGUCUAUCGACGAUUCUGUUGAAGUGGAUCACUUAAUUAUAAGCAGCAAUCAACUUUUAAUCCUUUGCAUAAGUAGCGAAACGAAGCUCAGAAACUGCAAACUCAAGAUCUUGAAUCUGAGGUAUGUAACAUCCAAUCUCAUUCUCUGCACUUUCAUACUUAACUUGGAUCGUGUUAAGCUUAACCUUCAAGUUAACAAUAUCUUGAUGAGCAGUCUCAAGCAGCAGAGAAGUGGGGGCAGAAAUAUUAGACCCUUUCAAAGUAACGAGCUCAGAGAUAGUAAAGUUUUGCGUGAAUCUUCUAAUUCACAAAGCCCCCAUGGAGCGAAUGGGAAUAGUAGUUUUCUCGACAAUGAUAGUUUCUCAGAGUAAAAAUCCUAUACCAGGAUGUCAAGGAGAAAGAAGAGCAACAAGGGAAAGCAAAAGAAACUAGUUAUUGGUAAAGCAUCUCUCUCGAUUGUGAUGUUUUAUUAUCAGACAGAGUACUUGAGCUUGGAAGAGCUUUUUACGCACUGCAAGUGUUCUGGGAUGAUUAGGCCUCAUGCUUGGAACCUUUGUCUGUAAUCGUUACUUAAAGAUGAUGAAACUUGUUGAGGAAAAAUUAGAGUACACAACACUAACACAAGGGUUAGAGAGACAAAAAAAGUAAACAAAUUACUUGUAUUACACUCACGAAAUAUUACAAAACACUUUCAAGGACGCACAUUAGAAGCUAUGACACUCUCACUUUCUAGGGACACAUUCUAGACCACUCACACUCCUACAAGACUACUCUUACUCCUCACUUUCACUUGGUUGCCUACUUUCUUGAUUUGCUCUCAUACUUCGUUACAUUUUUAGUAUGGCACUUCACCUAUUUAUAGGCGAGCUUAACCAACCUUUCUAAGUGCCCAACCGACUUGGGCUUUCAUAAUAAUUAUCCUUCUAGUUGUUUCUACAAACAGCCCACUGACAUGGGCUUUUGGUUCACACAUUUGUUACAAGCUUCUAGAACUUUUUAGCUUACUAUGCGUGCAUCACCGACUAAACAACUUGCUAGAAUUAUCUAGCAUUUUCUCAAUAUGCAUGCACUGCUAUUACUAGAGUUCUCUAGAAUCCAGAUAGCAAUUGGGCUGGUGUUGAUCUUUAACACUCCCUCUCAACAUCAGCUUAUUAUUUCCUCUAUGCUGAGUUGAUGAUAGAGUUUUUUGAACUUGCCGGUACUCAAACCUUUUGUGAACAAAUCUGCAAUUUGAUCAUCUGUAUUGAUAUGUCUCAUCUCAAUCUUUUCUUGCAAGACUUUAUCUCUAAUAGUGUACCUUCACAUGCUUAGUUCUUGCAUAAAAGACUGGAUUUUUCGCCAAGCGAAUUGCCGAUUGGUUAUCAUAGUACAAUGGUACUACAUAAUCUACUAGUUGAUGUUAAUCACUCAUCAACUGUACCAGCCAUGUAUUCUCUUGAGCUACAAUUGCUGCUGCUCUAUACUCUGCCUCCGUGAUUGACAAAGACAUUGUUGGUGUCUUUUGCUGCACCACGAAACUACUAUAGAACCAAUUCUAAAGACAUACCUAGGGGUCGAUCUCCUGCAAAAUCUGUGUCGCAAUAGUCGACCAACUUACCAUCUUCACCUUCCUUAUACAAGAGACCAUAGUCAAUUGUACUCUUUACAUACCUCAAUAUUUGUCGAACCACUUCUAGAUAAGGCUUCAUUGGAUUUUGCAUGUACCAACUCAUCACACCAACUGCAUAAGAAAUGUUAGGUCAAGUUAGAGUCAAGUAGAUCAGACUACCUACCAAUUGUCGAUACAUUAUUGCAUCUUCCAAGUCUCUGCCUUCAUGUGCACACAUCUUGGCAUUAGGUUCCAUCGGUGUUGAGAUUGGCUUGCAUUCAAGCAUCCCAAACUUUUGCAACAAGUCUUUUGCAUACUUUUAUUGAACAGAAAUAUCCCUUCUUGUGUGCGAUCAACCUCCAAAUCAAGAAAGUGCUUGAGUUGUCCAAGUUCUUUCAUCUUGAACCAAAUCAACAAAUUUUCCUUUGUUUGAUGAAUUUCUGCCUCAUCGUCAUCAGUGAUGAUUAAGUCAUCCAAGUACACAAGCAUGAUAGCUAACUUUCCUCCAUUAGCUUUAACGAAUAAGCUGGAAUCUGCAUGCACCGCUGAGUAACCACUUUGUGUUAGAAAUUUUGCAAUCUUACUGUACCACGCCCUUGGUGCUUGUUUAAGAUUGUAAAGUGCUUUCCUCAACUUGCACACAUACUCGGGAUGUGCUUUGCUUUCAAAGCCCAUUUGCUGCAUCAUUUAGAUUUCCUGAUCUAGCUCUCCCUGCGAGAAAGCAUUUUUCACAUCCAUAUGGUACAUGUUCCAAUCUUGGUUAGUUGCAAGUGCAAGUAAGACUCGUACGGUCAUAAGCUUUACCAUUGGACUAAAUGUUUCAUCAUAGUCUAGUCCAUACUGCUGAGAGAAGCCUCGAGCCACCAACCGAGCCUUGUACCUUUCAACUGAACCAUUAGGACAACAUUUUAUCUUGUACACCAAUUGCAGAAUAUAGGUUUCACAUUCCUUGGAUAUGGCACCAAAUCCCAAGUUUGAUUCUGCUUAAGCGCAGUGAUUUCUUUUUCCAUAACUCUUACUUAUUAAGCACAGUGAUUUCUUUUUCCAUAACUUUUACUUAUUAAGCACAGUGAUUUCUUCUUUCAUAACUCUUACUUAUUAAGUGCAGUGAUUUCUUCUUCCAUAACUCUUACUUAUUCAAAACUCUGUGAUGCUUCUUUAAACGUGUCAGGUUCUUUUGCUGCUCCAUCAACUACGGCAACAUUGGCACAUUUAGGAUUUGGCUUUCGUAUUCUUGUUGACUUCCUUAGUUGUGAUCGUGGAGUUGAUACUUCCACUUCACUAGGUCUAACUUCUUCUGGUUAUUGAUACACAUUAGUUUGCCAAAGACUCUUGGGUACUUCUUGCUUGACAUUGUCUUCAGCAAGCAAAUCUUCAGGCUCAUUUGGACUCGUUUGGAUUUGAGCAGUUUGCUCCCCCAUCUUCUGUUGCAGCUUAUCUUUAAACUCUCUUAAGUCAAGCAAUGCCUUAUUUUUUUAGCACCACCAAGAAGAUGCUUCAACGUCCCAUUCUUCCUCCAAGGCUAAAGACGUUAUGGCGUCCUAGUCAUCUUCAUUUUUCUUCUCUGAGUUGGCGAUGUUACUUUAUGCAGGCUUUUUGAACCAGCAAUUCUUCGCCAUGUGGCCCUUUUUUCCACAAUUGUAACAUUUUCCCUCAAACUUUUUAUUAUUCUAAGACUGACCACAGUUACCGUGAUACGUUGAAGCUCCCCCUCAAUGAGAACUCCCUUAUUUCCGAUGACCUUUCUCCUUGUCACCAUUUCUUUUAGAUCCACCACUAGCACGCUACUUAAAGCUUCCUUUACUUUUGGUGUAGAGCACUUCCUCUUCACCUUUUAACGAGACCCUUUCCAUUUGCUUUGCCAAAGCUUCUUGAUCGGCAAGAAAAUUCUCAAAUUCAACAAGUCAUGGUCAAGUAGGCCAUCCUUGUACAUCGGCAAUGAAGCCUCGAUAUUCAGGUCUCAAUUCAUGGAUAAUUAUUCUUUUUAUCCUGGAUUCUACAAUUGGAGCACUAGGAUCUAAUUUAGAAAUUUCACGGCAAAUAGACUUUACCUUGUGGAAAUACUAGGCAAUCGUCAUGUCCAUUUGGGCCACUGAUAAUAGCUCGUUCUUGAGAAGCUAUAGUCUUAUAUCGUUCAUCUUUGAAAAGAGUGUAGCAAAGGUGUCCCACACUUCUUUUGGUGUUUUGGCUUUCCUUAUGUGCUCUAACAUGUCAUCUUCAACUGUAGUUUUAAGGCAAACAUGGCCUUACCUGUCUUGAUCUUACCGAUCAAUUCGACUACCAUCUAAUCAUUUUUACCAACCUUUUUGAGUUAGGAAACCAAAAAUGGUUUUGAUUCCUUGAUAGUACCCGUUAGCAUACAAUCCAUUUGAAUCCUUACGAAGUUUACUUUGUCGAGAUUCUAGAAAUGUCAUUAAGUGAUGACCUAGUGCUAAAAUGGUAGCAUUUGACGGAAGAAAAUGUUAGGGAAAUCCAUUUUUGGUCCCUGAUAGCACUAAUUUUCUCAAACGCACUAGUUAAAAUUCUGGAUCUUCAAGAGGAAGAUCGAAUCUCUUUAGAUAUGUUCCGAAGUAAGUUAUUAGAAAUUCCUUUUCCGGCCUUAGGACAUUCUAACCGAUACUAGCUUCCAAAAUUUCUUGUGGUGCUGUACUAGUCGUUUCGAUGAGCAUAGGUGCAGGUGUAUAAGUUGUUAUGCUUACGAUUAGUAUAAAUCCCUGAAGCAGUAAGUAUUUUCCCUAAAAUCAAUGAAACCAUCUCCUAAGACUAGUUCCUUACCAAUCGUCCAAAACCAUACACCCAAGCGGGCUCUAACUUGUAAUCAGCAUAUAGUGGCGUUACUAAUUGACGAUAUUGUCCGAUAUCUAGAAGUUGUCAACUAAUAUUCAGCCAGUAUUAUUUAUGAUACUGAACACAUGCUAGUAUCUGGGAGUAAUACCCUUAUGCCAAAACACUGGUUCACAGUUUCAGGGUAGCAAACAAUAUCAAAAUAUUGUAUAUGCAUUCAUUAGUUGCGCGAUUGAUAAACUGAUUAACGGUGACUACCUGAGUUGAGGAAACUAAAUCAUGGAAACUGAGGAGAAAGUUUUGUAUUAGGAUAGUAAACCCAUAGUUGUUUUUACCUGAUCACCUAUCUAGGUAAACAGAACCUCUUUGACCAGUCACAUUUUCGAUCACUUUCACAAGUAAACAGUAGAAUCGAAGUAUGGGUGAAUUUUUCACUGUUAGAGUGAAUUAAGUAUCGAGAAAGCUAGACCUAUUAACACAUGGCAUAGUAAAAGGAAGUAGUAUGGUACGUUUCAAUGAUGAAUACCUUUGGCAUCAUUUCCCAAAAUUUUACCUGGGAUACCACCAAAUGGUGAAGUGAAGUACAUCAUUGACCCACUUCCUACUAUUACACCAAUUUUCCUUGCUUCAUAUUGAACGUUUCCGACGUCAUUGAGAAACUUAGUUACAAAGUUUACCAAUUAGGAAUUUACCCAACCAAGGACUAAACACCUUAUCUAGGGAACCUCAAAUCUAUCCGCGAAGGUGAAAGACCGAACCCUAGGAUUAUACCUAGAUUUUAGCAACUCAAUCAGGUGACGAUUAAAAAUUGUUUAAACCCUACUUCGAAUUGACGGUCUAGCCAACCAACCUUUGUAACUUGAGUUUCUUCCAUAGCUUGACGAAUUCAUAGUGGUCUUAUCGAUGACCUUCUCAUCUACCUCGACAGUGAAACCCAAUUCUCUAAACACCAAUAGUCAGCUUUAUAUCAAAUUCUUCAUACUUGUUUAGAGUGGAUAUGUUUCUUGGGAGACGUGCUCUCAGUGGACAAUAUUCUUUUCUUUUUCCUAAAAAGGUUGUAGUGGAAAGAAGUUGAAACUCUCACAAAGUGUUGUGAAAUUCGAGAUAUCUUUGGCCUUGUCGAUGUUAUCGACAAUUUGUUAGCAAUCUCUCAGAUGUGGUGUUUUUUUUCACAUAUCAACCGAUGAAAGUUAGUUUAGUUGAGAUGUUGAAUAUGAGUAAAGUUUUUGACAACCGAAGUGUUGUCUCACCCCAUCUCUGUUUUACACCUUUUGAUGACAUUGAUCAUUUUGGAAAUCCAUGAUGAUGUGUUCUUUGGAUGUUUCGACUGUACAGAGGCAGCAUGGCAGAGUAUCGUUUAUAUACUCUGUUGAUGCACAAAAUCGGAGAGGUCUUGGAACAACGUAAAUCCGACCGUGAAUCUACAAGAAAGUAAAUAACAUAAGAUGUAUCGUGGUUCACCCCAAGGUUUGGGCUACGUCCACACUGAUAUUGUAUUUCUGAGGGAGAGAGAGCUCUGAAUAUGAGAGUGAGAGCUUUGAGAGGAUGAGGGAGCUUAAGGCCUAAGAAUCGGCCUCUCCUAAUUGUGAGGGUGAGGAGUCAUUUUAUAGAAUAAGGAUUUCUCACUUAUUACAUAUUUGCCCCUUCCUUUAUUAUAUAAUUACAUUUAAGUUCCCCGAGUAUUUAUACGAGAUCUAAAUACGGAGGCCCUAAGUAUGGUACAAACAGUAGUUCCCUAAGUCUUCAGUCAAGAGAGUCUUUUGGCCGGAGACUUGAAAUUCAGUGCAUGUGUAGGCCGAAGUAACUAGAUGUCAUCUUGAACUGAUACCUGAUAUGAGGCAGUGCUCAAAAGUGAAAUGAUGCUCAAUUAAAAGUAGCACAUGUUGCGAGGUUGCUCUGUUUGUGACUUACGUUGCUUUGGUUGGCUCGGCUUGUGGCGUUGAAAGUGAAGGACUCCCUUUUAUAGAAUAAGGGCUCGCUCCUCAAUACAUAAAUGAUGGGCUAGAGUUGAUGCUCGCGGCGAGGCGAUUGCUCAAUGGCGGCGAUGCUCUCUAAUGAUGGUGAGGGAAUCCCUUUUAUAGAAUAAGGGUUCGCUCCUCACUACAUGAAUAAUAGGCUAGAGUUGAUGCUCUCUAAUGAUGGUGAGGGAGUCUCUUUUAUAGAAUAAGGGCUCACUCCUCAAUACAUGAAUAAUAGGCUAGAGUUGAUGCUUUCUAAUGAUGGUAAGGGAGUCCCUUUUAUAAAAUAAGGGCUCACUCCUCAAUACAUAAGUAAUGGGUUAGAGUACCCCAAGUAUUUUUCAUGAGGCCCAGUUAAGGCCCAACAUAUGGUAUAUAAUGUAGUCCCCCAAGUCUUCGGUCAAUAGAGUCUAUUGGCUGGAGACUUCAAAUUGAAUCCAUGUAUGGGCCGAAGUGGCGGUUGUUCGGAGGCAGUAUUUGUAUACCCUGCACUGAAGCUUUGUAGGUGAAGCUUUGCAAGUGAAGCUUUGUAGGUGAAGCUUUGCUAGUGAAGCUUUGAAGCUGGAGCUCUGUAAAUGAAGCUUUUGAAGCUAGAGCUUUUGUAAAUGAAGCUUUUGAAGCUAGAGCUUUGUAAAUGAAGCUUUUGAAGCUAGAGCUUUAGUAAAUGAAGCUUUUGAAGCUGAUUGACAUGAGUGAUGCUCAUGAAUGUUUAUGUUGAUUGAUAUGAGUAAUGCUCAUGGAUGUUGACAUAAGUGAUGCUCAUAAAUGUUGACAUGAGUGAUGCUCAUGAAUGUUUAUGUAUGAUUGAUAUGAGUAAUGCUCAUGAAUGUUUAUGUUGAUUGAUAUGAGUGAUGCUCAUGGAUGUUGACAUGAGUGAUGCUCAUGAAUGUUGACAUAAGUGAUGCUCAUGAAUGUUUAUGUAUGAUUGAUAUGAGUAAUGCUCAUGAAUGUUUAUGUAUGAUUGACAUGAGUAAUGCUCAUGUAUAAUUUGAAGUAGUGGGCAUACUUUUGAUCACCUGGUUGGUGAUAAUAAUAGCAGGCUGCCAAAUAAUUUGGAGUAUUGGGCGUACUUUUGAUCACCUGGUUGGCGAUAAUAGCGGCGGGGUGCCAAAUAAUUUUUUUUAGUACUGGGCGUACUUUUCAUCACUUGGUUGGUGAUAAUAGAGGGCCUGGCUCUUUUGGGCAUACGGGCCUUCACCCUCCAUAUAACGUUCCAGCCCAUUAUUUUGGGCUUGCCAUUUUUUUUUAUUACCCUCUGAUGAGGUUUAUACAGAUAUCUCCGAAAGAUAAGAAAAAUAAAUUACAUCAUUCAAAAAUAAAGGUUUUGACAGUUGCAGAUCGUUGGUGCGUACUGCACCUACUGCAUACUGGGUUGCUUCUGUUGGUAGCGUUCGUUGGCUUGGAUGGUAUUUUUGAGAGACUGGGAGUAACAACUGUUGUUAGAUCUGAAUUCGAAUGAGCUGGCUUGUUGGCCCAUCAUCAUCAUGGUUGUGGACUGCACCACCCCACCAUGCAUUCCAUUAAUAUUAUCUGCUGCAGCCAAGGAACAAAAUGCCGAUAAUAUCAGCGAUAUAUCGCCGAUAUUAUCGGUUUUUCCCCGGACUGAUAUUUUAAUAGGUAUCCAAAGGGUUUUCGUCAAAAUAUCGCGAUAUUAUCGCGAAAUUUCGAAACUAUGCAAGUCGGAGAUGAACGCUAGAGCUUCUACAGCUCCGGCCGACUGUAAAACAGCCCCUAGACUCCGAUCUAGGUAUGAAAAUGAAAUAGAAGACGAGAGGAACGUUUUUAUAACGUCCGUUUGCCGUGAAAUGGCCGGAGGUGUUCGGAAAGUUCGUCGACACCCACGGCCUCGCCGGAGAUGGGUGUGCCUAUUCCCGAGUCGAUUUCAUCCCAAAAACCUUGCAAAAACACGAGAUAGAACUUCAAUUUCACAUCUAAGCUUCGAUCUAGAACAGAAAAAGAAAAACCCGAAGCUUACCUAACCGGAGAAAUUGAAGGAACUCGCCGGAGCAGGUGCGAUGGUGUGCGUGUGGGUCUCGGUGCAUAGAGAAAUGAGAGGUGUAUGUGGGUCUCGAUGCAGAGAGAAAUGAGAGGGAGGAGCAGAAGGUCGUGGUGUGUGUGUGGGUCUCGGUGCAGAGAGAAAUGAGAGGUGUAUGUGGGUCUCGGUGCAUAGAGAAAUGAGAGGGAGGAGGAGAAGGCCGUGGUGUGUGUGUGGGAGAAGGGAGAAGAGAGAUCGAGAUAUCUGUGUGUGUGUGUAGGGGGGAGUGGAGAAUGGAGAGAAUAGAGAAGGAUCGAGAGAGAGAGACAGAGGUCGUGUCUGCGUGUGUGAUGUUUGUGUGCGUGCGUUGUGUGCGUGUGUGGUUGCGUGCGUUGUGUGUGUGUGUGGGGUUCCUCCUGUCAGGAGGACACAUGACUCACUCAGGAUUCCUGACAACUUUUACAAUUAUUUUGACAAUUUCAGACCACUUUUACAAUUAUAACUUGUACAAUUUCAGACCAUGGAUGGUGGUUUCAUUCAAAACCGUGUGUCGAUAUUCUUUCAAGAGGUGGAGUAUCAGAGCCAUUCAGAGCAUUUUCGUUUCUUCUUCUUCCCUUACCCCUUUCAAAGCCAUUCCAGAUCCAUUCCAGAGCUUAAACACAAAGGGUUCCAUAUUUAAAGUAAGUUUACAAACUUAUAUUUAUAUUAUUGUAAUUUAUACAACAACAAAAAAAAUUGUGUGGACUCGUAUGUUAAUUUUUUUUAAGUAAUUAAUACUUGCAUGUUAGUUUUUGUAAGUAAUUAAGUAAUGUUAACAAUUACAUGUUAAUUUUUUUAAGUAAUUAAGUAAUGUUGUAUAAUUAUUCCCUAGGAUAAUUUUAAUAUGUUUAAUGUUAUUUAUUAUUUUAUUAAUAUUAGGUUUUAUUAUCAAAUUGGAUUAUUAUUCAUUAAUAUUAGGUUUUUUUAUUAUCAAAUUGGAUUAUUAUUCAUUAAUAUUAGGUUUUUUUAUUAUCAAAUUGGAUUAUUAUUCAUUAAAUUGGAUUAUUAUCAAAUUGGAUUAUUCAUUUAAUUGGAUUAUUAUUAAAUUGGAUUAUUAUCAAAUUGGAUUAUUAUUCAUCACUAUGUUUUAUAUUAGGAUUAUUUUUUUAUCAAAUUGGAUUAUUAUUCAUUAAUAUUAGAUUUUAUUAUUCCAUAUUAUUUUUAUAAUUACUUAAAUUUUUACAAUCAUUUCUUUACUUCGUAUUUAAUUCUUCUGUAGAAUAACUUUAUUAUUUAGGUUCUCUUAUAUAACCGUCAUCACUACUAUAUUUUUUUGACCAAAAAAUAAUUGUCUAAUUUUCAUGAAAAAUAAAUAUAGGUACGUUUAAGAUGUCCAGUGGAGUUACUAAACGUGAUCCAGCUUGGGAACAUGGAGACCCAAUAGACGAAAACAAACAUGGCACAAUUUGCAAAUAUUGUGGUCGGGUAAUGAAGAGUGACGGAGUGACACGACUUAAGUACCAUCUUAGUGGAUUAGAUCCAGCAAAAAAUGUCCAACGAUGCGAUAAUGUCCCCCCAGAAGUGAAGGCAUUCAUCAACACAUUAUUAAAAAAAUAAAAAACAGCAAAAAGAAAAGAUAACACAUGGAAUGGAAAAUAUUCGAGCUGGGCUACGGGGAGAAGUUUAUGGCCAAGCGGUUGAUAAUGAUGAUGUUGACGAUGAGGACGAAUGUGAUGAUGACAUGGGACCUGAAGAACGACGCAGUUUGAAACAAGCAUUACGUGCCUCCAAACAGUCAGCAUGGGAAAGAGAACACCUUCAUAAAAUUCCUAAUAGAGCACAAGGUUCCGAGACAAGUGGUGGUGCACAAAUGAGACGGGGAGGCAGUCUUAGAGAAUCACAACCAACACCACCAAUAGCCCCAAGUUUAUAUAAGUCAUCCAAAGCACGUCAAAAGAGUGUUUGGAGUUAUUUCACUGGAGGUAAUGUGAAGGAGGGAAUGGGGCGUCUAAUUAGCAAAUUCUUUAUCUAUGAAAAUGUCCCUGCUGAGAAAGCAUCAUCACAUCAUUUCAAAAAUUUGGUAGUGGGAUGUCAACAGGCCGGUGUUGGAGUACAACAUCCCAUUCCCUAUGAGAUAAGAAACAAAUAUUUGGAUAUGGAGUAUAAAGACAUUGGCGAGUAUGUUAACAAGUUGAGGCCAAAGUGGGAAACUAAUGGUUGCACAAUCAUGUGUGACGGAUGGACCGGCCUGACCAGAUUGUCUAUCAUAAACUUCAUGGUAUACUCCAAAAGAAAGACAAUUUUUUUGGAGUCUGUUGAUGCUUCAGACCAUAUAAAGAACUACAAGUAUAUUUACAAAUUAUUGAGGGAUGUAAUCAUGGAGGUGGGAGAGCAUAAUGUUGUCCAAGUCGUGACCGACAACGGUUCUGCAUUUGUCAAAGCUGGAAAAAAAGUUAAUGAAGCAUCAUAAUGUGUUUUGGACAUCAUGUGCAGCACAUUAUAUUGAUCUCAUGUUUGAGGCAAUGGGGAAGAGAGAGAAUUUUGCUACUGUGGUAAAAAGAGCUAGAACGAUCACAAAUUAUAUUUACAAUCACGGUUGGUUGUUGGCAAAGAUGCGUGAAUUUUGCAAAGGAGAAAUUAUUCGUCCAGCUACCACUCGAUUCGCCACCGACUAUAUUGCAUUAGACAGCCUACUUAAGAAGAAAGCAGGGUUGAAGCAACUAUUCACUAGUGACGAUUGGGCCAACCACAAUUUCAGCCGCUCAAAUGCAGGUCGUAUGGUGGAAAGUAUAGUGCUUGAUCAUGCUUUUUGGACUCAAUCAGAACAUGUGUGCCAAAUGUUUGAACCUCUUUACAAAGUUUUACGGAUCGUUGACACAGAAAUGUAUCAUACUAUAGGGGCAAUAUAUGAGUUGAUGCGUGUAGUGAAGGAUGAAUUGGAAAGAAAACAUGGUGCAAGGUGGGUCAUAAAGAUAAUUGAAGACCGAUGGUAUAAAACAUUAUACCACGAUUUGCAUGCAGCAGGUAUAAAUUAUGUCAUAAUUUGCAAUUCAUUUCUUUAGUUGCAUAAGUAUUAAUUCUCUUAUUAGAGUAUGUGUUUCUUUGAACAGCAUAUUAUUUGAAUCUUCGAUACCAAUACAGACUCGGUGUUAGAGAUGAUGGUACCCUUAUACGUGCUGUACAUAAUGUAUACUCUAAAUUAGACCCUGCAUCACCAGCAGUUGGCCAAUUUGGAAAUGAGGUACACAAUUACUUAAAUUAUAAUAAUUACUUUGUGGAUUAAACUAACACGAUUUAUUGAAUUCAGCUAACAUGGUUUAAAGAUGCUAGAAGAACUUUUGGAGAACCAACAUCAGUUGCUGCUCAAACAAAAAUGUCUCCUAGUGAGUGUAAACAUAUUUCACGAUAAGUUUAUAAUAGAAUUUGUUGGAGUUAUUAGGCUUAUCAACAUUGUUUUUCAUUGUAUCUGAAUGGUGGAUCAUGUAUGGGACCGAUGCACCAACUGUGAGAAAGUUAGCAAUCAAAGUAUUAUCACAAAUAGCUUCCUCAUCUGCUUGUGAAAGAAAUUGGAGCACAUUUGCACUCAUACACACAAAGCAAAGAAAUAGGUUGGCUCAUAGUAGGUUGGAAAAAUUAUUUUAUUGCUACACAACAUGAAGCUUCAAAUUCGAGAUAAGGAAGCAGAAAUAGAUCAUGUCGACCGUGGUGACCCACUAGAUGUGUUUGAUAUUGUUGCUGAAGAUGAUGAUACAGAGGGUAACCAACUUUAUCAAUGGAUUAGACCUCUUCAUUUAGAUGAUGAUGAAGGCAACCCAGCUCCCAGAGUUGCUGAAGAAGCACGUAAUGAAGGGAUAAAUGUAGAAAGAGUAUUAGCGGAUGAGGUGGGAUCUAGCAGCGCUGACUCUUUGGAAGAACUUUUGCACCCAAGACCAAGAAACACUGGAAUUCCACCUUCUUCCAAUCCUACACAACCACAACAUCGUGCUAAUACUAAUGAUAGCUCUAGUACAAGAUCAAGAGGAGACUCACCUACCACUGGAGGUGGGAAUGAUGAAGGAUAUAGUGGAGCUGGAGGUAGUGGUGGUGGAUAUGGAAACUAUGUUGAACCACCUCCCGGAUAUAUGAGCCCCUUCACUGGUGAGGCAAACUUCACGCAUGCAACACAGGAUGAGGACCAUGGCAGUAGGCGGGCAGGACCAGGAAUUGGUGUCAUAGGGAAGGACUAUACUCGUAGAGAAAGAGGCAAGGGGAUUUUGUCAAGUCAAGAAGAUGACUCGUUAUCUAUAACUUCGGACUCUGUUGGAUUGGGAAGUAGUAACUAUGGUUAUACUCAUAACCAACCAUUUCCCUACCCUUCAUAUCCGAUUCCUGUUGGGAUGGAAUCGAGUGACUCAUGGAAACAAUUCGAGACUCAAUCUUCAAAUGAUUUUGCUUAUGGACAAGGUCAACCAAUCUCGGAUCCAUAUGGGUGGCAUGUUAACAAUUACAUGCAAAACUAUUUUGGGGAUUUAUCAUUUGAUAACUACUCUUCACAAUACACUCACUCUACACAUAGAGAUGAUGAAGAUAGUGAAAAAUUUGAACCUCAUAGGAACUCUAUGUGGUACUAAGUCACUCAUGUAUCUUACCAUGCAAUGUAUAAAGUGUAAAAUAUUGUACUAAUUCAUUAUAUAUAAAUUAUUAUGGUGUGUUUAAACUUCUUUCAUUAAUUACUACAUAUUUUCUACACUCACAAUGUUUGCCUGCUCGCUAUAUAAUCAAUUUGAUAAUGUUAAAUCCAUCAUGCAAUGCAUUUCCUUCCAUUUUUUUGUGAUAAACUAAUAGAUAAUUGACUAAAUAAACAUCCUGCAAAGUUUCAAUAAAAAUUUCCAAGUUUUUCUUAUAAUUUCCAUGGUUUCCAUAUUAUUUUUAUCGAUAUCCAUAUUAUCCCGAUAUUUUCAUCGAUAUUUCCAUGUUUUCGGACUACCGAUAUUUCCGAUAUUAUCGAUAUUUAAUACCUUGGUUGCAGCACCAUGACCAUGCACAUGCAACUGCUGUCAGAUUUGAAUUCGAAUGAGUUGGCUUGUUGGCCCAUCAUCAUCAUGGUUGUGGAUUGCACCACCUCACUAUGCAUCCCAUUAAUAUUAUCUUCUUUUGCUUUUGUUUCCUUUUUUCUUUUUUGCUUUUGUUUCUCACGUGCUCCCGAGGAGAGCCUCUUUUUUUUUUUUUUUUUUUUUAUGUUGUCUCUAUUCACUGCGUCUUUCUUUUUGUCUCUCCACCUCUUAUACUUUGUUGUAUGAUGAUGUGUACUGAUCAGGAGCCGGUGCCUCAUGAUGAUCGGACCCCGUUGGUGGGUUUUCCAGCUGCCAUCUUCUUCCCCGAACCACCGCUCCCACUUUCCUUCAAUUUUUGCCCUUCUGAGCCCAAGUUCAAAGGGUUGCUGCAUUUGGGGUCUUUUGAAACAGAGCCCUGAGCAUUCUGACCACCCUGUUUUAUGGGUUUCUUCUCUUUCAUGGCGGAGAACGAAAUCGACGACCAGAACUUGUGGUUGCUGCUACCCCCUUCACUCUUACUCCGGUGAAGAAACUCCUUCAGAAAAACCCACCUUUUCGAGUUCCUCCCCACCGACGACGACCGUGACGACGAAGCUGAAACCAAAGGAGUAGUGGUGGUGCUGCUGCUCUCCUCCACUCCCUCUUCGUCUUCUUUCCUGUUUUUCGCAACCCCUUUCGGAUCUUCAACAAAGUUGCAGUCUUUCUCAUCAACUUCAAUAAUCACGUCGUUCUGUCCCCACUUGAAUGGCUCAUUUCUCAGAGGGGACAAAGAUCUCUGCCUCUCACGGGUUUGAACCUCACCCGAUCCAUUUCGUCUUCCCUAAUUUUCGGUUCGAGAUCCAGCACGGAGCCAAAGUCUGGGGCUUUUCUAGGUGGGUCGAGAGUUUCAUGGGUCGGAUCUUCCCGUUCAAGAACAACUCAUCGGCCGAGCUCAUCGGACCGGUCAGGUCGGACCCGCUCAACCCGAACAGUGCAAAGAACUCAAAAUCAAAACCCAUAGAAACAGAGCCGUUGCCGUUCCCACCAUUCUUCUCAAACAAAUAAGAGUUCAACUUUGUGGUCAACGCGAAGUGCAUUGGGCUCGCCGGAGCACUAUAGAAAAACCCAUUGAUCGGCCCACUCCGUCCGGGGCUCGACGGCGCGCUGACAUAUGGUGUGGUGCAGGUGCUGUCGUAAUCUUCAAAGAAGAGCUGGUUUUCGAGCUGGGUUUGGCAUUACCAGGGUUUGACGGGUCGGGUUUCGGUUCAGGGUUUGGGGGUUGGGUGCCAUUGGUGAGGGAGAUAAGAUCGAGGACAAGGGACCGAAGCUUGGUGUCCAUGAGUUUGGUGCAAGUCUCACAUGUAACCUUGCUGUCAGGGUCCUGGGUAAGGCAGACAUCUAGCACUGCAUCAGAGAUCUGAUCGCACAGCUUGCCGAGGUGACCCUCGUUCACGGAUUCAGAUGUGAAUAGGAAAGUCUCUAUUCUCUCUAAAGCACGGAUCUGGAAGUGGAGGAAGUUGAAGGGAAGAAGAAGGGGGCUGUGAUAUUUGGACCACACAUUUUACGUAGAGAGCGGAAGAAAAGUGGUGGGCCUGAACUUGAGGAUGGAUCUGCAGCUUUCCUUCAUUUUUUGCUGUUUCUAAUUUCAGAAGCCUAGAAAUUGAAUCAGUUAGGUUCUGUUUCGUUUUGUCCUUUGACUUGGAAAUGAUAAGUACUGACUACGACUAAGGGAAGAGAGAGAGAAAGGUUACUGGGUUUCUGAGUUUUUGUGAUUUUGCAUAUUCACAGCAGAGGUGAAAAUAUAAAAGAGAACCGACACAACUUUUCGUAUCGAUUCCCACAGACGGCGCCAAAUGUUGAUGCACAAAACCGAAGGGGUCUCGGAACAACAUAAAUUCGACCGUGAAUCUGCAAGAAAGUAAAUAAUAAAAAAUGUAUCGUGGUUUACCCCAAGGUUUGGGCUACGUCCACAUUGAUAUUGUAUUUCUGAGGGAGAGAGAGCUCUGAAUAUGAGAGUGAGAGCUUUGAGAGGAUGAGGGAGCUUAAGGCCUAAGAAUUGGCCUCUCCUAAUUGUGAGGGUGAGGAGUCCUUUUAUAGAAGAAGAACUCCUCACUUAUUACAUAUUUGCCCUUUCCUUUAUUACAUAAUUACAUUUAAGUCUCCCGAGUAUUUAUACGAGAUCUAAAUAUGGAGGCCCUAAGUAUGGUACAAACAUACUCUAAUGGUUAGAACCGUUCUAAAUGAACCAUUUUACACAUGACCUAGAGCCAAUAAGUAUCCUCUUCAUUCAAGAACUGGAUAACCUCUUUGAGGAGAAAUGUGUCCAGGACCUAAAUUAACGUCUACGAUUGCACUAUCGUAUAUCAUCCCGGUUGUGCAAAAAAACAUUAAUUACCCUUAAAAUACUUUCAACCUGUCCUAUUCCAUUUUAUUUGGAAUUCACGAGCAUUGGUUUGAUGCUACUUACAAAUCAUCAAGAAAUCGUUCCAGUGGUUAUAACCCUUUUUGCAUUUGAAUGGAAAUGGGAAAUCUCACCAUAAGCUCAUGGUAUGAGGUAUCAUGUUCAUGUGGAUAUUAUGAUGAUGCUUCGGUAAUCAUCGACCGAUUUGACAAAUCAACUCACUUUCCAUUAGUCCAGAGUGACUACAUUUUACACCAUUUAGUAAAAUUACUCAUUCUUGAAUUUUUUUUUUUCAAAUUUUCUGGUGUUUCGAUCAACAUUUACUCUGUUUGUGAUUUCGUAUCUACCCUCUGUUUGUACCAGAAAGUACUUUCAGUUACCCUUGAAUACACAUCUACCCUACUGAACUUCGUAUUGUUCUGAAGCAGAUAAUCGUUAAGGAAAAUGCUUGGAUAUCUAAUUUUUAGUUUUGACCAUUAAUGCUUCAAUCACCCAAAAAAUAUUGUGAUGAACGAAUUUUACCAUUGGUGAUUAAAUCUUCUAGAAGCUACCGUUGUCGUUGGUGUCAUGCAUUCACUCACAGUUAUCUUGUAUCCUAGAUUUGAUAGACUUGUUUUGACCCUCAAAUUCUUAAGUGUUCUUUUAGCCUUUCUGACAUAUUUUUUCACUAAAUUCAAGAGAAAUUCAAUAUGAAUCUACUUGCUAAGGCAUUGUGGACUACAUGGUUCGGCUAUAUGGUGUACAGGUCGCUACUGUACCCCACAGUGAUACGUGUUUCACUUCCAAGUUUUGGGAAGUCUUCUCGAAGGCUAUGAGUACAAGUUGGUGUCCGAUACCACACUUCAUCCUCACACUAACGACCAGUCUGAAUGAAUUAUCCGGACUUUUGUGGACAUGUUGUAUUGAUCCGUUCUAUAGUUUAGCAUGAUUGUAGUAGAUACUUAUCUUUGUUAGAGUUACGUGUAACAGCAGUUACACUUUCGGUUUUAGGUAUGGCACCACUUGAGACGUAGUACAGAAAUUCUAUGCAUAUUACAUAAUUGACAGUUGAGUACUGCAAACAGGUAUCUAAAUGAUCGAGUGUGCGAUAUAGAAAAUUUCAUAAUUUUGACGGUGUUGGCCGAUAGGGUAGUGCGUGAGCACGAUUGAGGCUUUGUUCAGACGAUGUAUGUGUAUUUCCCAAUGGGGGGCAUGAUAGUAAUAUUUCACCCUCAAGAAUUGUUACUUUCUUAUUGAGACAAUAGUCUGUUGUCGGUAUUGCGGGCUGCAGACCAUAAUAUCAAUAACUUAUUCGUUGGGUUCGUUAAACAAGUAGUUCAUUCUAGGUUAGCAUUUGUAUUUACUUACUUAAUUAGUUAUUUAUUGUUUGGGCUUGACCCAAAGAUACUACAUACUUACCUUCGAAGUACGUGACGCUACGAGUGCAUAGGUAAAAAUUUUCUAUGCUCAGUUUUGAUUUCAGUACAACUAUUUCUACGUUAUUGCAUAUACGUAUUUGGAUGUUUUGCUUUUAUACAUCUAUUUUUUACCCAAUGUUUUUAUAAAAGUAUUAUAUUUUGGCAUUGUACAGAAAGAGAAGUAAAGUUUGAGCUUAGGGGUAUGAAAGAGGACUCACUGCACUCCAAUCACGACGGAAUGGCAUUCUUUUUUAUGCAACUGCUCUAGCUUGAUUUCUUCCUUAUAUAUACUUUCUUCCUACCUUUUAAGGUGGGUAAAUUGUGACAACAUGUCCCUAAUUUUACGAUUUUAUUUAUUUUAAAUGAGUGAAUUGAUGAAAAUACCCCUUGAGGCGAAUGUCUUGACUUUCGUUGACCUGCGUAUUGGGAAACAUGUCAAACAUUCUUUUAGCGUAUCCUCAUAGUGCUCAUCACUAUGAACGUGAAGGUUCAAGCGGAAUCAAAAUUGGAAUUGCGAUGAAGAUUUUACGGAACUACGAAUCCGAGAAAUACUUUUGUGAAAAAUUACUAAUGGAUAUUUUAUACAUUUGUUUUGAAAUCAUUAUAUUAUUAUUUUAUUAUUAGUUGAGAGAAGAGUGAGAGCAUUGACCAAUCUGAAAGAUAAGGAGAAGAGAAAGAUGGAGGAGAGUCCGACCUAUGAGAAGAGAAGAAAUAAGAAAGGAGGAAGUAGAGAAUGAGAGGAGCCGGCUGGGUUCCCCUUCAACCCGCAACCCAGUUUCGACCCGGAGGGUUUUCCGUGAUUGUCAUCCAUUUUUCCGACAAAUUCUACCCAACCCUUACCUGUAUACACAACCCUAACCUCCAUUCUCUCUUUCCACUAAAAAUCCAAGGGUUUUAGCCUCAAUUUCGCUAAGAACAAAGCCGACGGCUUUGAGGACACCCAGUGGCAAUCCACCUUUUUCUGCAACCUUUCCCGUCGAUCUCCACCAUCAAACAACUUCCCUUAAGCUUAGGAACAAUGCCAAAUCAAUGGUUAGAGGGUCGGAGUUGAUUUGAGGAUGAAUCAAGAACACCUAUAUUCUAGGGUUCCAUCGGGUUCGUGGUGAUUUGAAGCUUUUCCCGGCCAAAUUGGACUUGGCCACAGGUAUAAAACUUGCUCUACUCAUUAAGAUCUUUAUUCCUGUAAAAUUUGAGAAUUUUUAGAAAUAGUUAAAUUUUUCAAUGAGUCGAGGCGGCGUUGCGUGGGCCAAGACCCCACCUGACCUUCCUAGGCUAAUUUGGAUGCCCCAAUUCCAUUUUAGACAUUCGAUUAACGAAAUUCCAUUGUUUGGUUAUAUUUCCGUUAAGGGCCACCACUUGAAUAUUAUAGCAAUCGACGAUCCGACCGUUGGAUUAUCACUAAACUUUAAUACGUUAUUGUAUGUAAUAUUUCAGGACCAUAGAAACUUACGGAUUAAGAAAAAAAAGUACGGAUCCUCCCAAAUUGGAUUUGUAAGUUCAUAAAAUAAAACGUUUGCCACCACUAAAUUUUAGCGAUUGGCGAAGAUCCGACCGUUGGAUCGUUCCGAAACUUUAGGAUGUUGUUCUAGAAGCUUAAAUAAACUCUUGGGAAUUACAGAUCAGAAAUCUGAGGUGCAGAUCUUCUACAUUGAGUCACAUAAUGUUGUGGACCCUACUGUCGAUCUUCGACCGACAGUUGACUUUUGGUCAAUGGGUUUCAAAUAAUUCUAUAACGUUCUUGGAGAUGUGUUUUAUGUAAGUUACAUGUUCUAUCGAUAAGAAUUUUAAGACGUGAUUUGAUAUUAUUCUAGGCGACGAUCGUUCGUGACACCUCGAUAUUCGUUCUAGGAAGUUGUAAUGUGGACUUCAGGUGAUGGGUCCUUUCCUUUUUAUAGUGUAUAUAUAUAAGAUUGAUAGUUUCCAUUUAUGCAUUUGAAAAAGAAUUUCUUAGGUACGCUUGGAUUAGACUAAAGUUUAUAAGAAUUAGCCAAAUGACGAAAUUUAUGAAAUAUGCUACAUCCUACAGGAUGCACAGGUAUGCUUAUAAUCUUUGAUGCCAUAAUUAUAUCUACGACUAUGAAUGUUAGUAUGUUGAUUAGAACAAUCGAAUCAUUGUGGUAUGCUUAUAUUUAUGUAGUCUACUCGUCAUUACUGCACCCCGGUGUUAGAGCUUGCCCAAGGCUAGGGCCAAUCUUUCCCAUGUAGGUGCCAGUCCUAUUGUACAGGUUGCAUUAAGCAACUUCGACUUGUAAGUGACCGUGAAUAGCACCAGUCUUCACGUGAUUGUAGCACUAGAACGUAUACUAUGAUUACACCCAGUCCUGUCAUAUAGCUCGCAUUAGGCAACUCCAACUCGUGUGCUAGCAUAGAUUGAUGAGCAUCAGUUUAGUCGUACAGGUCCCAUUAGGCGACUCCGACCUGUGUGCUAGCAUAGAUUUUUAUAGCACCUGAUUUUAAUUAUAUUACUGUUGAGAUUUUGUGAUUUUGGAUAUCUUGCCCUUAGUUACGAGAUAUUGUGCCGUAAUGAAUUGUUGAGAUUUUGCAGGCUACGGUAAGUAUUUGUAUACCAUACAUAGUAAGUAUAUUUUGGAAACAAUACUUGUUUUACGACGAAGGGUUACAAUAUUUUCAUAAAGGUUUUUAUAAAACUUUAUUUUCGAGCCCACUCACCCUUGUUUUUGUUCGCCCCUCCAGGUUUUAGAAGCUGAGCUUUCAUAUCGGCGAGGAUUCUUGGCAAAUCUUGGUGUAGAUGAGUAAUUGAAAAUAUUUAUUUUUAUGAACAUUUUAAUCUAAAAAUAUUUGAAUUCCAAUAAGUAAUUAAAAAUCAUACAAACAUAGGUAUUUAUAAAGUUUUAAGUUAAAUCUGAUUUAAAUAUUUAUUUCUUUAUUUAAUUAUUUUAGACGUUAGAUUUAAUUUUGGGCCGUCAAUUUUUUUUAUUUUUUUUUUACCCUUAGAUUUGAUCUCAUUUGAUCAUAGCCAUUAGAUUAUAAGUGAAAAACAAAAUAAGAUUUGAAAUAUGAUAGUUUGGUAGAUCCAGAAUAAUUUAAGACAUACUUAAAUCCUAAGGGGAAUUUAGCCCAGGGAUAUACUUUCUCCCCAAAGCUUAUUUUAGCCCAAUGAUUGGAGAUGGUUUGGGGGGUUUUAAAGCUUAUAUUUUAAGUUUUAUCCCAUGAGUUGGAGAUGGUCUUAGGGCUUCAAAAAAGACAUUGGCAAAAGAGAGAUGCAUCAAAGUGCUUUUGAGAUUAUGAAUCCCCCGUCAGCAAAAAAAAAAGGAUUUUAAAUAUGUGUUUUUAAGUAAUUGAACUACUCCCUAUAUUGUCAAUUGGUUUAAUAUUGGAAUCUCAAUUUUCUUUAUGAUAUUAGAGCAAGUUGUCAUAUGUGCAAAGCCCAACAGCCACACGUGCUCCAUUAGGUCUAUGGGCUCCAUAGUUUGAGACAUAGAGAGGAUCUCAAUUCGGUCGUAUUGAGAAUAUGAACUCCACAUCCAGGAAAGAAGAGACCUCCUUGCAUGUGAUUAUAAGUAGUUAGACUACUUUUCAUAUUGUCAAAUGGUGUGAAACCUCAACUUUCUUCAAGUGCUUUUACAACCUAAGAAACUUUGUUUUGAUUGAGUUUUCUAUUUACACACCACAAAACAUCUUAAGUUCACCCAUUAUUUUUUGUAUCGUUUGAAAUCCAAUUUUUACCCAUGUUAAAAAAGGGUGGUGAUAUUUGCACACUCCUUUUUACCUUCUGUUCAUCACUUUCCACUUUCGAUCGUCAAAUCCGUGACUUGAAGAUGAUCAAGUAACAAAAAUUAACAGGAUGUGUGGAAAAUAAAAAGGAAUGUAUGGAUAAUACUACCCUUAAAAAAUUAAGAACCAACACUAAAAAGUUAAGAAACCCACAAUCAUGUCAUCAUUUCCAACCAUCCCCCUUUCAUUUCCUUCCCUCCACUCACACUUUCCUUUUGUCUUUACCUCUCUAUAAAAAAAAAAUCAAUACAAAAUGUUGACGUAGCUAAAUCGUAACAGUUUAAAUAGGAGGGGAGGGAAUGAGAGAAAGAUUACGAGGGAAGAGAAUCAAACUCCCGCUACAAGCAGUGUUGGCUUGAGGGAGGGGGGGUGAGCAACUUGUGAAAUUGCACAAUGACCCCAACUUUUGGCUGAUAUAUAAGUUUGCGAGUUGAUACUUUGUUUCUUGUUUGGACUGAGAGAAUGGAGUGAGAGAUAAAGAGAAUAAGGAAAGAAUAUGUUGAUUUUUUAUUUCACAUUUUUAAUAUCAUUUGUUGCUGAAGAUUUGUCUUUGGAUAGUGAAUAAUUAUGAUAUUAAUACAUGGUAAUUUUUUUUUAUUAUUUUAGUACAUUUAUUUAUGUAAUAAAAUACGAAACCAAAAGGGGCCGUUUAUAAUUUAUGCACAGAGCUCUCAAAAUUUCAGAAACAACCAUACCUACAAGUCUCGCUGCUUCUAGCUUUAUUCCCGUCUAUCUCUCCCUCCUUCCGUGAGCCUUAAUUGAAAUUAGAAUUGGGUGUUAUUCAAUUUUUUUCCUCUCUUACUACAUCCUUGAUUUGGUUUAUAGUUUUUUGUUGAUGCGGUGCGAUGGUUAAGAAUUUUGUCCAGCAUCAACUUUUAAAUAUUACGAAUUGAGUUAAAGUGAGAAAUCAAACAGCUCCUCAAUGGUAAUAAUGCCCUAUUUUUAAUGUUUUAGAGAAAGUGAAGAGGCCAGCAGUCGGAUUUGUAGGUUCAUAAAAUAAAACGUUGACCAUCACUAAAUUUUAGCGAUUGGCGAAGAUCCGACUGUUGGAUCGUUCCAAAACUUUAGGAUGUUGUUCUGGAAGCUUAAAUAAACUUUUGGGAAGUUACCGAUCAGAAAUCUGAGGUGCAGAUCUUCCGCAUUGACUUACAUAGGGUAUUGGACCCUACUGUCGAUCUUCGACCGACGGUUGACUUUUUGUCAAUGGGUUUCAAAUAAUUCUAUAACGUCCUUGGAGAUGUGUUUAAUGUAAGUUACAUGUUCUAUCGAUAAGAAUUUUGAGAUGUGAUUUGAUAUUGUUCUAGGCGACGAUCGUUCAUGACGUCUUAAUAUUCGUGCUAGGAAGUUGUAGUGUGGACUUCAGGUGAAUGAGUUCUUUCCUUUUUAUAGUGUAUAUAUAUAAGAUUGAUAGUUUCCAUUUAUGCAUUUGAAAAAGAAUUUCUUAGGUAUACCUGGAUUAGACUAAAGUUUAUAAGAAUUAGCGAAAUGGUGAAAUUUAUGAAAUAUGCUACAUCCUACGGAAUGCACAUGUAUGCUUAUAAUCUUUGAUGCCAUAAUUAUAUCUACGGCUAUGAAUGUUAGUAUGUUGAUUAGAACUAUCGAAUCAUUGUGGCAUGCUUAUAUUUUUGUAGUUUGCUCAUCAUUGCUGCACCCCGGUGUUAGUGCUAGCCCAAGGCUAGGGCCAAUCUUUCACGUGUAUGUUCACCUCCGCACCGCACGCUAGCCUUGGAUCCAAGUAGGUGUCAGUCCUAUUGUACAGGUUGCAUUAAGCAACUCCUACUCGUACGUGACCGUGAAUAGCACCAGUUUUCACGUGAUUGUAGCACUAGAGCGUAUAUUAUGAUUACACCCAGUCCUAUCGUAUAGGUCGCAUUAGGCAACUCCGACUCACGUGCUAGCAUAGAUUGAUGAGCAUCAGUUUAGUCGUACAGGUCCCAUUAGGUGACUCCGACUUGUGUGCUAGCAUAAAUUGUUUGAGCACCUGAUUUUAAUUAUAUUACUGUUGAGAUUUUGUGAUUUUGGAUAUCUUGCCCUUAGUUACGAGAUAUUGUGCCAUAAUGAAUUCUUGAGAUUUUGCAAGUUACGGUAACUAUUUGUAUACCAUACGUAGUAAGUAUAUUUUGGAAACAAUACUUGUUUUACGAUGAAGGGUUACAAUAUUUUCAUAAAGGUUUUUAUAAAACUUUAUUUUCAGGCCCACUCAUCUUUGUUUUUUUUCGCCCCUCCAGGUUUUAGUAGCUGAGCUUUCAUAUCGGCGAGGAUUCUUGGCAAAUCUUGGUGUAGAUGAUUAUUUUCGAUGGUAUAAUUCUCACCCUAUCUUAUUGUACUAGACUUAUGCUCUGACAUCACGUGUGAAAUGGGUUCAUUCCCGCUCACAGUGCGCUCUUAUACUUAGGCACUUUUAGGUUUAAAUUUAUUCACAUUUUUCCAUAUCACUACACUUUAUGGCUUCGUCACCUUCCAGGUGUCGGCCAACACAGCUUGAUUCAGAGUCCUAGUGGACAUUCCGGGUCGGGGUGUGUCCAAAAUUUUAACUCGAAAUUAGUGAAUAAUGAUUUUAGCCUAUUUUUUUGUUUUGGUAACUUUUUUAAAAAUAAAAUUUAUGUGGAUUAUUCUAAUGUUUUUUUAUGAACAUUUUAAUCUAUAUUUAAAUUCCGAUAAGUAAUUAAAAAUCAUACAGACAUAGGUAUUUAUAAAGUUUUAAGUUAAAUUUGAUUCAAAUAUUUAUUUCUUUAUUUAAUUAUUUUAGACGUUAGAUUUAAUUUUGGGUCGUCAAUUUCUUUUUUUCUUUUUUUACCCGUAGAUUUAAUCUCAUUUGAUCAUAGCCGUUAGAUUAUAAGUGAAAAACAAAAUAAGAUUUGAAAUAUGAUAGUUUGGUAGAUCCAGAAUAAUUUAAGAUAGACUUAAAUCCUAAGGGGAAUCUAGCCCAGAGAUAUAUUUUCUCCCUAGAGCUUAUUUUAGCCUAAUGAUUGGAGAUGGUUUGGGGGGUUUUAAAGCUUAUAUUUUAAGAUUUAUCCCAUGGGUUGGAGAUGGUCUUAGGGCUUCAAAAAGGACAUUGGCAAAAUAGAGAUGCAUGAAAGUGCUAUUGAGAUUAUGAAUCCCCCGUCAGCAAAAAAAAAAAAGGAUUUUAAAUAUGUGUUUUUAAGUAAUUGAGCUACUCCCUAUAUUGUCAAUUGGUUUAAUAUUGGAACCUCAAUUUUCUUUAUGAUAUUAGAGCAAGUUGUCCCAUGUGCAAAGCCCAACAGCCACACGUACUCCAUUAGGUCUGUGGGCUCCAUAGUUUGAGACAUAGAGAGGAUCUCAAUUCGGUCGUAUUGAGAUUAUGAACUCCACAUCCGGGAAAGAAGAGACCUCCUUGCAUGUGCUUAUAAGUAGUUAGACUACUCUUCAUAUUGUCAAAUGGUGUGAAACCUCAACUUUCUUCAAGUGCUUUUACAACCUAAGAAACUUUUGUUUUGAUUGAGUUUUCUAUUCACACCACAAAACAUCUUAAGUUCACCCAUUAUUUUUUGUAUCUUUUGAAAUCCAAUUUUUACCCAUGUUAAAAAAGGGUGGUGAUAUCUGCACACUCCUUUUUACCUUCCGCUCAUCACUUUCCACUUUCAAUCGUCAAAUCCGUGAUUUGAAGAUGAUCAAGUAACAAAAAUUAACAGGAUGUGUGGAAAAUAAAAAGGAAUGUAUGGAUAAUACUACCCCUAAAAAAUUAAGAACCAACACUAAAAAGUUAAGAAACCCACAAUCAUGUCAUCAUUUCCAACCAUCCCCCUUUCAUUUCCUCCCCUCCUCUCACACUUUCCUUUUGUCUUUACCUCUAUAAAAAAAAAUCAAUACAAGAUGUUGACGUAGCUAAAUCGUAACAGUUUAAAUAGGAGGGGAGGGAAUGAGAGAAAGAUUACAAGAGAAGAGAAUCAUACUCCCCCUACAAGUAGUGCCGGCUUGGGGGAGGGGGGGGUGAGCAACUUGUGAAAUUGCACAGUGACCCCAACUUUUGGCUGAUAUAUAAGUUUGCGAGUUGAUACUUUGUUUCUUGUUUGGACUGAGAAAAUGGAGUGAGAGAUAAAGAGAUUAAGGAAAGAAUAUGUGGGAUUUUUUAUUUCACAUUUUUAAUAUCAUUUGUUGCUGAAGAUUUGUCUUUGGAUAGUGAAUAAUUAUGAUAUUAAUACAUGGUAAUUUUUUUUAAUUAUUUUAGUACAUUUAGUUAUGUAAUAAAAUACGAAACCAAAAGGGGCUGUUUAUAAUUUAUGCACAGAGCUCUCAAAAUUUCAGAAACGACCAUGCCUACAAGUCUCGCUGCUUCUAGCUUUAUCCCCGUCUAUCUCUCCCUCCUUCCGUGAGCCUUAAUUGAAAUUAAAAUUGGGUGUUAUUCAAUUUUUUUCCCUCUCUUACUACAUCCUUGAUUUGGUUUAUAGUUUUUUGUUGAUGCGGUGCGAUGGUUAAGAAUUUUGUCCAGCAUCAACUUUUGUAUUACUAAUUGAGUUAAAGUGAGACAUCAAACAGCUCCUCAAUGGUAAUAAUGCCCUAUUUUUAAUGUUUUAGAGAAAGUGAAGAGGCCAGCAGUCGGACUGGUGGACGAAUCCGGCAUGGUGGCAAGCGAGGAGGAUUGCUAGGUGCUAGGGUUUUCAAUUUUUUGAGUAGGAGGUAAAAUUGGGUUUUGCACAUUUGUUGGAUGAACAUGUGUGAUGGGGUUGUGACUAUUGACCAGAAAAACUGCUUUUUAGCCACUCGCAUCAAGAUGAUUUGUUACCCACCAAUUGAAGAUGGUGUUUGUACUAUUAAUCCAAGAGUUUGAAACGUGCUUAAUUUGAUCUACACGUGAGGCGUCAAUAAAUCAGUUACACAUUCAACUCAUAUCACUGGCUUGGGACUUGCUUAAUUUGGACUCGACAUGAAGUGAUAAUAUAUCACUCAUUCGAUUCAUAUUAAUUUAAUGUCUUACUUAAUUACCAACUCACUUAAGCGAAUAAUACGUUUGUGUUUUUUGAAAAGCAGUAUGGAACAUGGACAAAAAAAAGGUAGUGAUAAAGAGACAAACUAUUUAGACUAAGUUUUGUAAAUCAUAUAUCAUGAUUGUUGAUGAUUAGAAAUGAUGUGAUUAUUUCAAAAUGAUUGCAAAUGUAGCUUUUAGGCAGUUAAAGGGCCACAAAAAUCAAAUUGCAAUUCUUCAAUAAUUCAGGACUAAUUAAUAAAACCAGAUAUACUGAAAUGAUAAUGGAUAGAAAAAUGUCCCCUUAUAUUUCAUAUGACAGUGCUACAUAUUUGAUACUAUGGAAAAUAAAUUAAUAAAUGAAUCCAUACACAAUAAUAAAUUGACAAAGUUAACCAAAACUCCAUAAACACCUCCACUCUGUAGUCCGAUUCUCUACAUAACCAAAACAGCAGCGAAAAUCCCAACGGCCACGGACCCGGCGGCGGAGAACCUAUUCAAAACGGCACCGUUCGCAGGAAGGGGAGCCUCGGUGGGAGAGUUGGCGACGGGAGAUGUCGAAGGAGAAGUAGUCGGAGACGACGAUGGGGGAGAAGGUGGAGAGUCGGCGACGGGAGAUGUCGAAGGAGAAGUCGAUGGUGAAGUGCUCGAUGGAGAAGGAGCGGCGGCCGUAGGUGGAGUGCUCAAAGGAGAAGGAGCGGCGGCAGUAGGUGGAGUGCUCGACGGAGAAGGGGCGGCAGGAGCUUGUUUGGGAGAAAGCGUAGGAGACUUGGCUGGCGACGAUGCAGGGGAUUGCGCCCCGGUCGAGGCCAGCAACAAAGCAGCCAUAAGCACGAAAACGACGCCGCUGAAUCGAGCCAUUUGUAGAGAGAAAAAGAGAGAAACUCAAACAGAGAUUGUGAGAGAGAGAGCGAGAGAGAGGAGUCUAGUGAGGGUUAGAGGCGAAUAGCAGAUGGGUUUUAGGAGAGCAGAUCGGGGUUUAUAUAGAGGGAGGGGGAGGAGACGCGUGGCGUGUAGCAAACCGUUGGACGGUGGCGAUUUUCUCGCUGUGAGCCUGUGAUGAUUCAAGGUCGGUUGGGGUAAAAAGAGAACGUGUUACCAACUCAGAGCCGAAACACGCUUUGUUUAUUGGACUGGGCUGGUUCUUUUAUGGCCGUUGGAUGUAUGCUUUACAGCCUAUAACGGUUAACUAUCCGACGGUGCAGAUGGUAGGUUAUCUGGCAGAUUCGCUUCUUUCUUUUGUUUUUAUUUUAGUUGGACUUUUCUUUUUCUUUUGGAAAUCUUUCUUUCUUUCUUUUAUUUUCUGGCUGUACAGAUUGUUAUCUUAAAGCAAACGGAUCCUUUCUUUCAAUCUUAGGUGCCAGAUUGGAAAAUUUGAAGCUAAGGUAGGGCAUGUCAGCUAGGUUUUUAUCGAGGUCCUUUCAUGCACCUUAUCUUUCACCUUUGUAAGUUUUAUUCUCAAUUAAUGAAUAUAAUACUUUUUUAUAUUUUUUAUAAAAAUAAAAAAUAAAUAAAUCGAACAGUUUAACCAUUUUUUUUAACUAACAAUAGCGUUAGCAGGUUAAAUUAUUCAUUUUUAGAAAGAAAGAGAAUUGGUGGGGGUCGAACUUGCACUAAAGUGAUAAACGUGAUUGUUUUUUGUCAUUGUGAUAAAAUGUCAUCAGCACGAUUAAACUAUUUGUUACUUGUUUGAUUUUUAUAAUAUUAAAAUAGACAGAUUUUGAUAAUUAAGUAGACAUAUCAUUUUUAGGGCAAGCAUGAAAUUUAGUCCAAGUGAGAUUUUGAAAAGAAGGAAAGAAAGUAGAAAGUGUCUUGUGGAAUUGACUGAUUCUCUUGUAAGACGGGGUAUGGAGUCCUUGAGUCAGUCCACUUUUAACCCUUCAAAGAGGGCAUAGAAGCCUAGAUAGGUUAUAAUAGCCCGUUCAACUUCCAUUCAAUUGUUAGGUUUUGACUCGAUGUAUUUGUCUUGCUAUGGAAAAUAAUGCCUUACAAGACACUACAUAUAUGAUCCAGCUUCCGGCAAUUGCAAUGGCUUCUUUAUUUUUUUUAUAUAUUAAAAAAAUGAGUUCUUAGAUACAACAAGAACAAAUCUUAUAUAUAUAUAUAUAUUCAAGACUUACUUGAUACAAUAAAAAUCUCUGUUUGGAAAAUUUGAAGCUAAAGUAGGGCAUGUUAGCUAGGAUUUAGAAUUAUUUUGUACAUGAAGAAAUAGACCGAAUGGUUAAAUCAUUGUUUUUAACGAACAAUAGCUUUAAAUUUAACUCGUUAAUUGUUAGGAGGGAGUAGGAUUGGUGGAAAUCGAACCUGCACUAAAGUGCACAAGCAUGAUUACUUUUCGUCACUACGAUAAAGUGUCAUCAGCACAAUGAAACCACUUUCUUCUUCAUUGAUUUUUAUAAUGUUAAAAUAGACGAUUUUGAUAAUUAAGUAGACAUAUCAUUUUUAGGGCAAGCAUGAAACUUUGUCCAAGUGAGAUUUUGUUAAGAAGGAAAGAAAGAAGAAAGUGUCAAGUGGAAUUGAAUGAUUCUGUAGUGAGAAAGGGAAUGGAGUGCUUGAGUCAAUCCACUUUUAACCCUUCAAAGAGGGCAUAGAACAAUAGAUAAGUUAUAGCCCGUUCAACUUCCAUUAGGUUCUGACUCAUAUAUUUGUCUUGCUGUGAUAAGAAUGCCUUACCGGACACUACACAUAUGAUCCAGCUCCCGGCCGAGGUAUCCGUUUUAUGAUAACUUUCAACAGUUUCUGCUCCAUUUUUGUACCUUUAGUUGGCCUUAAUAUUCUCGGCAAUUGCAAUGGCUUCUUUAUCUCCUUAUGUUUAAAAAAAAAAUUAAAAAAUCAAGAGGUUUCAUAUACAACAAGGACAAAUCAUAUAUAUAUUCAUGACUUGCUUGGAUCAUAACACAAAUAUCUAUUUGGUAUAAUAUCGCAUGGAAACAAACAAGGUUAAAUUGAUACUAUAGAAAUCUCUAGUAAAAUGUCUACCCGUAAUCUACAUAGUUCAUUUUAGGGAUUGGCCCCUGCGUUUGUGGUUUCACCCUUUUGGGUGUAAUAGCUUCAAAGUUUGAUAGUUUACGUUAAAGACAGAUCCGCUUCUUUUUUUGUGCAUGAAUUUGGUGUAUACAACAACACCCAUAUUUAUGUCACUUCUAACUAGGCUUAAAAAUGAAAUUUGUUCAUGUCUCCAACGAUUUCAUGUAUGCCGAUUUUAUUGUUGUAUGAAAAUUUUAGCUGAGGAGGUGGGAAACAAUAUUAGAAACAUCUUUCAAACUUUAAAAGACAAGACAAAAGACAAAAGUUGCUACGUCUCAUGUUGCUUUACUGACAAAUUUGAUUGGAUUCAGGAAUUGAUGCUGAUACUUUUGUUGUAAUGUCAAUUAUGUCGAAACAUAAGCUACUCUACUUUCGAGUUGGUUGUAUUCAAAAAUGCUUUUCAUCGUUUAAAAGCGUUUUCAGCUAUCUCAAAAGCAUAAUGGUGUCCAUAUUCUAAUAACAGAGGUUCUUGGAUAUGAAUGCAGGGCAAAUUUGGUGAUAACACAUAUUGAAAUAAUAAUCGAAAAAUAAUGUCUCUUUAUAUUCUCAUAUAACCGCGCUACAAAUUUAAAUUAAUAAAAGAAUUUAAUACAAUAAUAAGUGGAAAUUCAAAAGUCCAUAAACACCCCCACUCUACAUAACCAAUACAGCAGCGAAGAUCCCAGCGGCUACAGACGCGGAGGCUGAGAACCUGUUCAAAACAGCACCGUUAGCAGGAGCGGGAGCCUCGGAGGGAGGUCCAGAAACUGAAGAUGGAGAAGUAGUCGGAGACGACGAUAGGGGAGAAGGUGGAGUGUCAGCGACGGGAGAUGUCGAAGGAGAAGCGGAUGGUGAAGUGCUCGAUGGAGAAGGAGCGGCGGCAGUAGGUGGAGUGCUCGACGGAGAAGGGGCGGCGGGAGAUUUUUUGGGGGAAAGUGAGGGAGACUUGGCUGGUGACGAUGCAGGGGAUUGCGCCCAGGUCGAGGCCAGCAAGAGAGAAACCAUUAGCACCAAAACGACGCCGAAGAAUCGAGCCAUUUGUAGAGAGAGAAACAGAACUCAAACAAAGAUUUUUAGAGAGAGAGGAAGAGAGGAAUUAAGUGAUUGAGAGGCAACUGAAUGAAUGAUGGUUUAAGGAGAAGGGCGGGGGGUUUAUAUAGGGGGAGGCGGAGGACACGUGGCUUUAAAGUACCGUUGGACGGUGAGAUUUUCUGGCUGUGAAGGUUGGAUGGUGGGGUUGGGAAACGUGUUACCAAACUCAGAGAAGAUACGCGGUUUGUUUUAUCGGGCUGGAAUGUUGACCGUUGGAUGGGUACCUUAGGUUAUAACGGGUAGUUUUCCUACGGUGGAGAUUGUAGGUUAUCUGGCAGGUUCGCUUUGUUCUU